UACAGAGGGUGCAAGCGUUAAUCGGAAUUACUGGGCGUAAAGCGCGCGUAGGCGGCUUUGCAAGCCGGAUGUGAAAUCCCCGGGCUUAACCUGGGAACUGCAUUCGGGACUGCAUUGCUAGAGUAUGGGAGAGGGAAGUGGAAUUUCAGGUGUAGCGGUGAAAUGCGUAGAUAUCUGAAGGAACAUCAGUGGCGAAAGCGACUUCCUGGACCAAUACUGACGCUGAGGAGCGAAAGCCAGGGGAGCAAACGGG
This 253-nucleotide ribosomal RNA is filed under the name uncultured bacterium. Its description in RNAcentral is "partial 16S ribosomal RNA". It matches the Rfam family "Bacterial small subunit ribosomal RNA", at positions 524 to 776 of the family's 1533-position model. The record is from RNAcentral.